Molecule: ribosomal RNA, 420 nt
Filed under: uncultured bacterium
Lineage: Bacteria
Description: partial 16S ribosomal RNA
Source: RNAcentral
ACGGCCAGGACUACAGGGGUAUCUAUCCCUUUCGCUCCCCCGGCUUUCGUCCAUGAGCGUCAGUAAUGGCCCAGCAGAGCGCCUUCGCCACUGGUGUUCUUCCCGAUAUCUACGCAUUUCACCGCUACACCGGGAAUUCCCUCUGCCCCUACCAUACUCAAGCUUUUCAGUUUCCACUGCCAUGAUGGAGUUAAGCUCCACGCUUUAACAGCAGACUUGAAAAGCCGCCUGCGGACGCUUUACGCCCAAUAAUUCCGGAUAACGCUUGCCACUCCCGUAUUACCGCGGCUGCUGGCACGGAAUUAGCCGUGGCUUAUUCCUCAAGUACCGUCAUAUCUUCUUCCUUGAGAAAAGAGGUUUACAGCCCAGAGGCCUUCGUCCCUCACGCGGCGUUGCUCCGUCAGGCUUUCGCCCAUUGCG